AUUGAACGCUGGCGGCAGGCCUAACACAUGCAAGUCGAACGGUAACAGGAAGCAGCUUGCUGCUUCGCUGACGAGUGGCGGACGGGUGAGUAAUGUCUGGGAAACUGCCUGAUGGAGGGGGAUAACUACUGGAAACGGUAGCUAAUACCGCAUAACGUCGCAAGCCCAAAGAGGGGGACCUUAGGGCCUCUUGCCAUCGGAUGUGCCCAGAUGGGAUUAGCUAGAAGGUGGGGUAACGGCUCACCUAGGCGACGAUCCCUAGCUGGUCUGAGAGGAUGACGAGCCACACUGGAACUGAGACACGGUCCAGACUCCUACGGGAGGCAGCAGUGGGGAAUAUUGCACAAUGGGCGCAAGCCUGAUGCAGCCAUGCCGCGUGUAUGAAGAAGGCCUUCGGGUUGUAAAGUACUUUCAGCGGGGAGGAAGGGAGUAAAGUUAAUACCUUUGCUCAUUGACGUUACCCGCAGAAGAAGCACCGGCUAACUACGUG
Molecule: ribosomal RNA, 490 nt
Filed under: uncultured bacterium
Lineage: Bacteria
Description: partial 16S ribosomal RNA
Rfam family: Bacterial small subunit ribosomal RNA
Source: RNAcentral